CGAGCUAUGGCCCGCCACCAGCACCGAGCUAUGGCCCGCCGCCACCCCCAGUGUAUGGCCCACCACCGGUGAUCGUGUACCUGCAGCAACCUCAACAGGGCGGUAAAGGCAAGGGCGGGGAUUCUGUCUUUGGCGGUCUGACCGACAAGCUCAAGGGCGGGUUCGAUACCGUGUCGGGAUCCUUCGGCAGCAUCAAGGACAAGGUCUCCUCCCUCAAGACUCGGGCUCUCAAGGCUCUGGUCGAGCUCCUCAAGGCUAAGUUCACCAAGGACAAGAAGGAAAGCGCUCCAGCUCCUGCGCCAGCCCCCAGCUAUGGCCCUCCUCCCGCUCCAAGCUAUGGUCCUCCACCGCCUCCCCCACCAAGUUAUGGUCCUCCUCCACCACCUCCCCCUCCAAGCUACGGUCCUCCUCCUCCAAGCUACGGUCCUCCUCCUCCACCACCUCCCCCUCCUAGCUACGGCCCUCCCCCCUCGACCUAUGGGGCUCCCCCAGCCGGUGGUCACGCCGGUCCCCUGGUGGACGAUGGACCUCCUUCUGGCUUCAACGGCAACGUCCCCGGAGGACCUUCAGGACGUUAACACAGGUGAAGAGGUCAUCAGUGAGCAUGUGUGUGACCUUGACACUCACACUGAGGUGAAGAGCGCGCGUGCGUGACCCAGGCAGGUGGUGGCGGCCAGCUGGGGUCGCCCCGGCCAGCU
Molecule: non-coding RNA, 698 nt
Organism: Procambarus clarkii (red swamp crayfish)
Lineage: Eukaryota; Metazoa; Arthropoda; Malacostraca; Decapoda; Cambaridae
Source: RefSeq, a predicted model, not a curated record